RNAcentral lists this small nucleolar RNA (68 nucleotides) under Phocoena sinus (vaquita). RNAcentral's name for it is "Small nucleolar RNA SNORD42 (ENSPSNG00000016765.1)". It matches the Rfam family "Small nucleolar RNA SNORD42". From Rfam's summary of the family: snoRNA U42 is found in intron 3 of the ribosomal protein L23a (RPL23a) gene in humans and is also present in mice. U42 is a member of the C/D class of snoRNA which contain C (UGAUGA) and D (CUGA) box motifs. Most of the members of the box C/D family function in directing site-specific 2'-O-methylation of substrate RNAs. RNAcentral also lists the same sequence under 1 other name. Lineage: Eukaryota; Metazoa; Chordata; Mammalia; Artiodactyla; Phocoenidae. The record is from Rfam by way of RNAcentral.
GCACAAAUGAUGGAAAAAAUCACUAUUUGGGGGGGGGAAUGACAUGAACAAAGGAACCACUGAUACAC